CAACAUCCGAAUGAGAAAGGCCGACGUGAAUAUACUCUCUUGUUCGUCAGAUGUUCCCCCGUCGCCUUUCGUGUCUCUUCCGUGCUGGCCUUUCAUGCCUGCAGCAUCGUAUGCUGCUGACAGUCUGAAUUCAUGCGACUGGUGCGACAAGGUCCGACGUCUGUCCGGACAGGCAGUUCACCAUUUCGAAGGGGCGCUUCUAGAGAAAAAAAAAUGCCAAGCUCAAUAUGAUCAUCUGUCGGAAGACCAGAUUUCGUGUAGCUGUGAAGGGACUGCGAGCACGGAAGGCUUCCGAGUCACACCGCAGGUAUCAAGUGAAAGGGAGUUUCAGGUGUAUUCUCCACCGGAAGCAGCCGCCUCAACUGUCCGCGCGGCAGGUACCAGAAAUCAUUUCAAAGACACUACUACUGUGCAGCGGGGCAGAAGAUGUGGCAAAGAAUGCAAAUCUGGGCGUGGCGCAUGUGACCAUUGCAAACGCGGUUUCACAGGGAUGCCUCUUUCCCCUGUUUACAGUAGAAAUAAACUCUCCGAAGACAACAGAAUACAUGCGGGAGGUGUAGCAGGACCUGGGAGUAGUGAAGCGGCGCGUGAUGACGCGAAUACACAGUCCACUGUGGACGGUUUCACGCACACCGGUCAGAUGGAAGUCAGCCACGUUAGAAAUGCCGGCGUUUGGAGCAGUCACCAGGGUGUUGGGUGUUCGGCCAAGUGGGAGGCCCGUAGCACCAUCUCCAACGACGGCCACCCUCAUCCAGAACAUUCGUCUGCCACAACCGCAGAUGUGUUCAGCAACAACGGCAAGAUCGGCCCUCUCCUAGCUAUUGAAUCAACGAAGUCGCACACCGGUGCAUGUGCCAAACCGUGCCUCCUGUACGACAACAUCAUGGAAAUGCCCGACGCCAACACAAGGUCGACAGACGAUUCUGUGGCGUGGCAGUGCUGCCGAUCCACCCAUCCUGACUGUUACAACGCCACAUUCUGCGCAGCGCGUGCGCCAAUGCCUAUGCGGAC
RNAcentral lists this long non-coding RNA (1011 nucleotides) under Toxoplasma gondii VEG. The record is from RNAcentral. Lineage: Eukaryota; Apicomplexa; Conoidasida; Eucoccidiorida; Sarcocystidae.